CUUGACAACUAUAAGAGGUCCAGCCUGCCCAGUGACUCUGUUCAACGGCCGCGGUAUCCUAACCGUGCGAAGGUAGCGUAAUCACUUGUUCUUUAAAUAAGGACUAGUAUGAAAGGCACCACGAGGGUUGCACUGUCUCCUUUCUCUAAUCAGUGAAACUAAUCUUCCCGUGAAGAAGCGGGAAUGAAAAUAUAAGACGAGAAGACCCUAUGGAGCUUUAAACUAAACAAUAAUAGCCAACCCACUUACACAACUCCAGAUGAAUACUUUACCCUGGCUUAAUAAUUUUUAGUUUUUGGUUGGGGUGACCACGGAGAAAAAAGAAACCUCCGCAAUGAAAGACUCUCCUUCUUAAUUUUAGGACUACUUUCCUAAACAUCAAUAAAUUGACAUAUAUUGACCCAACAACGUUGAUCAAUGAAC
RNAcentral lists this ribosomal RNA (423 nucleotides) under Lithodytes lineatus group sp. ABGD cluster 3. RNAcentral describes it as "partial large subunit ribosomal RNA". It matches the Rfam family "Bacterial large subunit ribosomal RNA", at positions 1835 to 2457 of the family's 2925-position model. Lineage: Eukaryota; Metazoa; Chordata; Amphibia; Anura; Leptodactylidae. The record is from RNAcentral.